This 73-nucleotide transfer RNA is filed under the name Zingiber officinale. It matches the Rfam family "tRNA". Rfam says of the family: Transfer RNA (tRNA) molecules are approximately 80 nucleotides in length. Their secondary structure includes four short double-helical elements and three loops (D, anti-codon, and T loops). Further hydrogen bonds mediate the characteristic L-shaped molecular structure. tRNAs have two regions of fundamental functional importance: the anti-codon, which is responsible for specific mRNA codon recognition, and the 3' end, to which the tRNAs corresponding amino acid is attached (by aminoacyl-tRNA synthetases). tRNAs cope with the degeneracy of the genetic code in two manners: having more than one tRNA (with a specific anti-codon) for a particular amino acid; and 'wobble' base-pairing, i.e. permitting non-standard base-pairing at the 3rd anti-codon position. The record is from Rfam by way of RNAcentral. Lineage: Eukaryota; Viridiplantae; Streptophyta; Magnoliopsida; Zingiberales; Zingiberaceae.
GGGGGUGUAGCUCAGAUGGUAGAGCGCUCGCUUAGUAUGUGAGAGGUACGGGGAUUGAUACCUUGCAUCUCCA